Molecule: ribosomal RNA, 468 nt
Filed under: uncultured bacterium
Lineage: Bacteria
Description: partial 16S ribosomal RNA
Rfam family: Bacterial small subunit ribosomal RNA
Source: RNAcentral
GACGAACGCUGGCGGCGUGCUUAACACAUGCAAGUCGAACGGAAAGGCCCUGCUUUUGUGGGGUGCUCGAGUGGCGAACGGGUGAGUAACACGUGAGUAACCUGCCCUUGACUUUGGGAUAACUUCAGGAAACUGGGGCUCAUACCGGAUAGGAGCUCCUGCUGCAUGGUGGGGGUUGGAAAGUUUCGGCGGUUGGGGAUGGACUCGCGGCUUAUCAGCUUGUUGGUCGGGUAGUGGCUGACCAAGGCUUUGACGGGUAGCCGGCCUGAGAGGGUUACCGGCCACAUUGGUACUGCGAUACGGCGCAGACUCCUACGGGAGGCAGCAGUCGGGAAUAUUGCAGAGUGGGCGGAAGCCUGAUGCAGCAGCGCCGGGUGCGGGAUGACGGCCUUCGGGUUGUAAACCGAUUUCGCCUGUGACGAAGCGUGAGUGACGGUAAUGGGUAAAGAAGCACCGGCUAACUACGUG